AAGAAAACAAAGAUGUUCAUCAAGAUUUUAACCACAAUAUCCUUGUCACGCUUUGCUUUCCUAAUACUUCCUAAAGGAUCUGAUGCACUUGAUUGUUCUGUCGCUGAAAUACGCAAUUGUGAAAAAGGAAGCUAUCCGAAAUAUUUUCCUCAACUUGGUUUGAAACCAUAUAUUUGCAGUGGAACCGCAAAGCAUAUGGAGUGUAUAAACCGCGUCACUGAUUAUUGCAAAACAAAGCCCC
Saccostrea cuccullata (small rock oyster) is the source of this 241-nucleotide long non-coding RNA. RefSeq lists it as uncharacterized. The transcript is spliced from 3 exons. The record is from RefSeq and is a predicted model, not a curated record. NCBI's taxonomy places the organism in Eukaryota, Metazoa, Mollusca, Bivalvia, Ostreida, Ostreidae.